GCAGGAUUCCCAAAGUCUUCACCAAAGUGCUAAAUUCACUAUAUUUGGUGUGUUGGGUUUUCUGAGCUAAUCAAGGACAGUCUUAGCUUUGUAGCCGGGUCAUGACUGGUUGGAGGAGACCAGGGGAAUAUAAGCAUCCAUGGGAAUGACCAGAAAUCUUGGGAAAGGCUGUGGGUUUGUAUUGUUUGUGGUCUAGGAUAUCUCCUGUAGAUCUUAAAAAAGAAAGAACUUCAUAAGUAUUAUCUGGAUCAAAAACUUAUUUUUUGACACAGAUAAAAAAAGCUAAGAGAGAAACUGAUGACAGGAGUCAUUAUUUUGUGAAAUUAAUAAUACAUACUUGUUCAUUUUGGAACAAAACUCUCAGUGUUUACACCAAGUAUUGCCUUCUCUUAGUGAAUCCAAUAUUUUUCCCAUAAAAAACCCCUCUUGCCCUUGUCCGGCUGGGCAAAAUAACUGGGAGAUGACAAGCAACUUGAAGGUUGAAGCGGGAACUAAUUUAUUGCUAGUGAACUCAGCGGGAACUGAGUGGGGGAACUCAAAGUAGCAGGUACCCUAGGUAGCAGGCACUGCCACUCUGCCUGACUGCAGAGGUACAAAUACCCAACUAAUUACACACAGCUUAACUUAAUUAACAUAAACUAGAUACAGCAGUCAGUCAUUAAGGAAUCCUUAUCAUCUUAAUGGCUCGCUGACAUUGGCUCAGAAACCACUCCUCCUAGCAUACUGCCAGGCGCCAUCUUAACUUGGUUGUGGCCCUCAUCACCCUAGAUAUUAUAAUGUCCUAUAUGUGAGGUGUGCUAAGUCUAAUCUGCUAUGAAUCAACUUUACACAGUCUAGGUGUUGGACAUCUUUUUCAUUCUCAUUAGUUUGGGUAUCUUCACAUAGUAUAUUUAUCAUGUUUUGGGAAAUUUUUAGUUCUUCUAGUUCAAUAAUUUGCAUUUGUAUCCACCUAUAUUGAGCAGUUGGCCAUUGUCUUGUUCCAUUUGGGCUACAUAACAAAAUACCACAACCAGGCAGGUUAUGAGCAACUCACAUUUAUUUUUCAUAGUCUGGAGGCUGGAAGUCCAUGGUCAAGGCACUGGCCGAUUCAAUAUGUCAUGAAAGCCUGCCCUCUGGUUCAUAGAUGACAGUUUCUCACUGUGUCCUCCCAUGGUAGGAGGAAUACCUGGCUCUCUCUUUAUAAGGGAGACCAUCCCAAUCAGGAGAGUUCUGCGUUCAUGAGCUCAUCACCUCCCAAAGGCCAACCCAGGUACCAUGGCAGUGCUGAUUAGGCUCCAGCAUGUGUCUGGGGGACACAAAUAUUCAGCCACAGCAGUUACUUGUCUUCUGAAGUCCUUGCUUAGGGGUCUCAACACCUCUACUACUGAUUUCUGGAAUGAAAAUGCAAAUAAGUUUGUCUUCAUGCAAGGAGGGCCUCAGGCAAGACCUCUGCCAUUUGGGUUUCUCGGUGCCAUUCUAAGCUCAUCUCUCAUCUCAUCAUGCUCUGACCCAACUAGCUUCAGUUCCCAAGAGAGUCCCAUGGUUUUGUUUGUAUCUGGUUUUCAUCUUGCCUCCUCAGCCGCAUCUGGGGAAAGUGCCAGAAAAUGAUGCUAAUUUGCAAGUUUAUAAUGAGUCAGAGAAAGGCUUAUAUUUCACAUCUUUGGGAUAUUAUUAGCUCCUUCUCUCAUCUCAAAUAUUAUGAUUAUUUACCUUUGGGUAUGCUGUAUCUCUGAAGGAAAUUUAAAGACUGCUAUGUUUAUUAGGACAGUGGAAACCUGACUUAUGUUCUAGAAAUUCUACCUAAUUGAAUCCAAAAUUUGCUAGAUAUUAAAACGCAAAAACAAAAUGUUGAUGUGAUUUAAACUGGUAACUUAUACUUCUUGAUUUUUUGUAAGAAUGUUCACUUGGCCACCAUCAUAAAUUCUGUCAGACAUAUCAGAUUCUAUUAUGGGAGGUUUUAAUGAUUUAUUUGUGCACAAAACUUAUAAAAAAUCAUUAAGGUAAUCUGGGCUUGAGAGAAUUGUAUCUGGUUUGUAGUCAUGGAGUCUCACUUGGGGUGGAGCUUAACUAAUCCAGGUGGCAUCUGGUAAGAGGGGUUGGUCCCUGACCACUGCUCAUUGACUCAUUCUCUAGUGACCACACCUAGCUGAGGGAACUCACUCAGGGAAAUGUUUUUAGUUGUAACUCUUGGGAUUUUUCAAUUUUAUAUAUAGAAAGUUGAGAAAUAGACUGUAUCUGGACAGCUAUAUCCUUUCCUUAUAAGUCAUUGUUUAAAUUUGAAUAGGGAGCAAGUCAAGAGUAUUUCUAGAAAUUUGGGUUGGAAUUGAGCUAAUUAAAAAAUAAUAUGUGUAAGAUAAUGAAUUAAAAAUUAAAUCCUUCGAAACUUCUGUUUUCCCAGUUCCCCGUUUUACUCUUUAACCACAUUGAUCUGAGCAGGGCUCUCCUUC
This 2426-nucleotide long non-coding RNA is filed under the name Marmota monax (woodchuck). The record is from RNAcentral. Lineage: Eukaryota; Metazoa; Chordata; Mammalia; Rodentia; Sciuridae.